GGGACUGUAGCUCAGGGGUUAGAGCAGGCGACUCAUAAUCGCUUGGUCGAGUGUUCAAAUCACUCCAGUCCUACCA
Molecule: transfer RNA, 76 nt
Filed under: Gammaproteobacteria bacterium
Lineage: Bacteria; Pseudomonadati; Pseudomonadota; Gammaproteobacteria
Also listed under: 7 other names
Description: tRNA-Ile
Rfam family: tRNA
About the family: Transfer RNA (tRNA) molecules are approximately 80 nucleotides in length. Their secondary structure includes four short double-helical elements and three loops (D, anti-codon, and T loops). Further hydrogen bonds mediate the characteristic L-shaped molecular structure. tRNAs have two regions of fundamental functional importance: the anti-codon, which is responsible for specific mRNA codon recognition, and the 3' end, to which the tRNAs corresponding amino acid is attached (by aminoacyl-tRNA synthetases). tRNAs cope with the degeneracy of the genetic code in two manners: having more than one tRNA (with a specific anti-codon) for a particular amino acid; and 'wobble' base-pairing, i.e. permitting non-standard base-pairing at the 3rd anti-codon position.
Source: RNAcentral